ACGAACGCUGGCGGCGUGCUUAACACAUGCCAGUCGAACGGUGAAGCGCCUUCCUUUUUGGUGGGUGUGGAUGAGUGGCGAACGGGUGAGUAACACGUGAGUAACCUGCCCCCUUCUUCUGGAUAACCGCAUGAAAGUGUGGCUAAUACGGGAUAUUCUGGGUCUGUCGCAUGAUGGGUCUGGGAAAGAUAUUGUUUCGGUGGGGGAUGGGCUCGCGGCCUAUCAGCUUGUUGGUGGGGUGAUGGCCUACCAAGGCGGUGACGGGUAGCCGGCCUGAGAGGGUGGACGGUCACACUGGGACUGAGACACGGCCCAGACUCCUACGAGAGGCAGCAGUGGGGAAUAUUGCACAAUGGGCGCAAGCCUGAUGCAGCGACGCCGCGUGAGGGAUGGAGGCCUUCGGGUUGUGAACCUCUUUCGCCAGUGAAGCAGGCCUGCCUCGUUUGUGGGUGGGUUGACGGUAGCUGGAUAAGAAGCGCCGGCUAACUACGUG
Molecule: ribosomal RNA, 493 nt
Filed under: uncultured bacterium
Lineage: Bacteria
Description: partial 16S ribosomal RNA
Rfam family: Bacterial small subunit ribosomal RNA
Source: RNAcentral